Molecule: ribosomal RNA, 372 nt
Filed under: uncultured bacterium
Lineage: Bacteria
Description: bacterial SSU rRNA
Rfam family: Bacterial small subunit ribosomal RNA
Source: RNAcentral
UACGUAGGUGGCAAGCGUUAUCCGGAAUUAUUGGGCGUAAAGAGCGCGCAGGUGGUUGAUUAAGUCUGAUGUGAAAGCCCACGGCUUAACCGUGGAGGGUCAUUGGAAACUGGUCGACUUGAGUGCAGAAGAGGGAAGUGGAAUUCCAUGUGUAGCGGUGAAAUGCGUAGAGAUAUGGAGGAACACCAGUGGCGAAGGCGGCUUCCUGGUCUGUAACUGACACUGAGGCGCGAAAGCGUGGGGAGCAAACAGGAUUAGAUACCCUGGUAGUCCACGCCGUAAACGAUGAGUGCUAAGUGUUGGGGGUCGAACCUCAGUGCUGAAGUUAACGCAUUAAGCACUCCGCCUGGGGAGUACGGUCGCAAGACUGAA